GACGAACGCUGGCGGCGUGCUUAACACAUGCAAGUCGAACGGAAAGGCCCCUUUUGGGGUACUCGAGUGGCGAACGGGUGUGUAAAACGUGAGUAAACUGCCCUCGCCUUCGGGAUAAAUUCCGGAAACAGGGGCUAAUACCGGAUAGGUAUCCUUGCUGCCUGGUGGGGGUUGGAAAGCAUCGGGGGUCUUGGGUGGACUGGCGGCUUGUCGGAUUGGUGGUGGGGUAGUGGUUUACCCGUGCAUUGACGGGUAGGUGGCCUGGGAGGGCGAGCGGCCACAUUGGGACUGGGAUACGGCCCAGGCUCCUACGGGGGGCAGCAGUGGGGAAUAUUGCACAAUGGGCGGAAGCCUGAGGCAGCAGCGCCGCGGGCGGGGUGACGGCCUUCGGGUUGGAAACCGCUUUCAGCAGGGGCUAAGCUUGUGGUGACGGUACCUGCAGAAGAAGCACCGGCUAACUACGUG
Molecule: ribosomal RNA, 465 nt
Filed under: uncultured bacterium
Lineage: Bacteria
Description: partial 16S ribosomal RNA
Rfam family: Bacterial small subunit ribosomal RNA
Source: RNAcentral